AGCGAACGCUGGCGGCAGGCCUAACACAUGCAAGUCGAACGAACUCUUCGGAGUUCGUGGCGGACGGGUGAGUAACACGUGGGAACGUGCCUUUUGGUUCGGAAUUACUCAGGGAAACUUGUUCUAAUACCGAAUGUGCCCUUCGGGGGAAAGAUUUCUCGCCAUUAGAGCGGCCCGCGUCUGAUUACCUAGUUGGUGAGGUAACGGCUCACCAAGGCGACGAUCAGUAGCUGGUCUGAGAGGAUGACCAGCCACACUGGGACUGAGACACGGCCCAGACUCCUACGGGAGGCAGCAGUGGGGAAUCUUGCGCAAUGGGCGAAAGCCUGACGCAGCCAUGCCGCGUGAAUGAUGAAGGUCUUAGGAUAGUCAAAUUCUUUAACCGGGGACGAUAAUGACGGUACCCGGAGAAGAAGCCCCGGCUAACUUCGUG
RNAcentral lists this ribosomal RNA (433 nucleotides) under uncultured bacterium. RNAcentral describes it as "partial 16S ribosomal RNA". It matches the Rfam family "Bacterial small subunit ribosomal RNA", at positions 29 to 507 of the family's 1533-position model. The record is from RNAcentral.